Molecule: ribosomal RNA, 152 nt
Filed under: Holophagae bacterium
Lineage: Bacteria; Pseudomonadati; Acidobacteriota; Holophagae
Description: partial 23S ribosomal RNA
Rfam family: Bacterial large subunit ribosomal RNA
Source: RNAcentral
CAUCUAAGCGGGAAGCCCACCCCAAGAUAAGGUGUCCCGGGCGCAAGCCCCUGAAGACCCCAGGUAGACCACCUGGUUGAUAGGCGGGAUGUGGAAGCGCGGUGACGCGUGAAGCUUACCCGUACUAAUCGGUCGUGAGGCUUGACCACACA